RNAcentral lists this ribosomal RNA (440 nucleotides) under uncultured bacterium. RNAcentral describes it as "partial 16S ribosomal RNA". It matches the Rfam family "Bacterial small subunit ribosomal RNA", at positions 339 to 795 of the family's 1533-position model. The record is from RNAcentral.
CUACGGGGUGCUCCAGUGGGGAAUCUUGCGCAAUGGGCGAAAGCCUGACGCAGCAACGCCGCGUGCGGGAUGAAGGCCUUCGGGUUGUAAACCGCUUUUACCAGGAAGGAAAAUGACAGUACCUGGAGAAUAAGGUGCGGCCAACUACGUGCCAGCAGCCGCGGUGACACGUAGGCACCAAGCGUUGUCCGGAGUUAUUGGGCGUAAAGAGCUCGUAGGCGGGUCAGUAAGUCGGGUGUGAAAACUCUGGGCUUAACCCAGAGACGCCACCCGAUACUGCUGUGACUUGAGUCCGGUAGGGGAGUGGGGAAUUCCUGGUGUAGCGGUGAAAUGCGCAGAUAUCAGGAGGAACACCAAUGGCGAAGGCACCACUCUGGGCCGAGACUGACGCUGAGGAGCGAAAGCGUGGGUAGCAAACAGGAUUAGAUACCCGAGUAGUC